AGUGAACGCUGGCGGUAGGCCUAACACAUGCAAGUCGAACGGCAGCACAGUAAGAUCUUGCUCUUACGGGUGGCGAGUGGCGGACGGGUGAGGAAUACAUCGGAAUCUACUUUUUCGUGGGGGAUAACGUAGGGAGACUUACGCUAAUACCGCAUACGACCUACGGGUGAAAGCAGGGGAUCUUCGGACCUUGCGCGAUUGAAUGAGCCGAUGUCGGAUUAGCUAGUUGGCGGGGUAAAGGCCCACCAAGGCGACGAUCCGUAGCUGGUCUGAGAGGAUGAUCAGCCACACUGGAACUGAGACACGGUCCAGACUCCUACGGGAGGCAGCAGUGGGGAAUAUUGGACAAUGGGCGCAAGCCUGAUCCAGCCAUACCGCGUGGGUGAAGAAGGCCUUCGGGUUGUAAAGCCCUUUUGUUGGGAAAGAAAAGCAGCAGGUUAAUACCCCGCUGUUCUGACGGUACCCAAAGAAUAAGCACCGGCUAACUUCGUG
This 492-nucleotide ribosomal RNA is filed under the name uncultured bacterium. RNAcentral describes it as "partial 16S ribosomal RNA". It matches the Rfam family "Bacterial small subunit ribosomal RNA", at positions 29 to 507 of the family's 1533-position model. The record is from RNAcentral.